RNAcentral lists this small RNA (2313 nucleotides) under Vigna angularis var. angularis. RNAcentral's name for it is "Non-protein coding transcript". The record is from RNAcentral. Lineage: Eukaryota; Viridiplantae; Streptophyta; Magnoliopsida; Fabales; Fabaceae.
UUUGGUUAAAGUAUCUGUGACUAUUAGUGUAGAUUAGCUUGUGAUCAGAGGAGUAAUUAGAGUUGGAGAUAUAUAUUAUUAUGUCUCCUUCAUUGCUAAACACAUGAGUUUUAGUUGCUGGAAAUCACACGGCUACUUUGAGAAUAGAAGUGAAAACCUAAUUCUUCAAGAAAAUCAAGAUCAGCAAGGUCUAGGAAACCCCUAUCAACGAGUUCAAACGACAGAUCCAGUUGUGGGUUUGAUUUUGACCCUAAGGUUUUAAAACUAAUUCUAUGAGAUUACUCUCUCAGUUUUUCGUCAUCAAUUAUCCCUCUUCCCUUGUCUCUUUUUGUUUUUGCUUUUGCUUCCAUUCCUAUAGCAAUAUAAAGCUUUCAGAAAGGUACUGAUGGUUCAAAAUUAUGCAUUCAGCGGCAACAUGGCAUUUAUGCUUAGAGAAGGUUGAGUGUGAUGUUGAUGACUCUGUAUGCCUCAUGGAUUUUCUAUCUUAUGAUCGUUGUGUUGCCCGUUAGUUGCAGAAUCCUUCCAAUUUUUUUGGCUGUUGAAACUUUCAUAUGGUUGAUCAGCACAAUUUUUUUUCAGUGACUCAUCGUUUCGAGUUUAUGUCAACCAGCAUGAUUUUUCAACGUGGGAUUCUGUUUACAAUCUUAGAUGGGAUUGAUUUGCAACAUGCUUCUGCUUUCCCCGGGGCAACAUGGUCCAUCGUAGUAAGCAAAAUACUGAAAAUUACCUUCAGUUACUUGAAAGAUUAUUAAGAUAACCUGUAUCUGCCUCACAUUUAUUAUCAUUUGAGCCACUGAUUGUAUAUAUUUAUGAUAGAUAGUCAGGGAGUUGAAAUUGAAACAUUGUUUAUCCAGUGGCACGUUUAGGGUGAAAAAUGUUAAUAGAUUAGUGAGUUUUGUAUAUCAUACAUGUAACAGAAAACAAAAAAUAAAAAAUAAAAAUUGAGUACUAUAUCCCUGCCUCAACAGGGCAGAAUCUUGUGGAAUUUGAGAGACCUCUGAUUCUGAAAUGCCAUAACUUCCCUUUAGAAUACAACAAAUUCUCAUCACACAAGAACUCCCAUGAAAACCAUUUCUCUAUGAUACGAUCUACAUCAUGUACUAUUACAUCUGAAGUAUUCCCUGCUCUUGCCAGUACACUAGUGGUGUAAAUGGACCCCAUUCUGCCUGGUGAUUCUGGUGAAUCCCCAAUGGGUCCAUCUACCACCAUGACAUCCCAGUUCUUUUCAUACACCUGUAAUGGGUCAUCAUCAAGAAAGAUGGUGCUACCAGCAGCAUUCAUGUUUGAGAGGGUGAGGUACUGGGGUUGAAAUCCAAAUAUAAGAAGGUUGCAUGGGGAUUUAAGAGCAACGAGAUCUGAAAGAACUCUGAAUUCUUUCUCGGUCAGGGUGGUUGUGGUGUUGGGAGUAUGUGAUGCAAUUUUGUUGCAGGUGGACAAAGGUGAAGAAGAACAAUUGUGUUGAGGAGGUGGAAACAAAGCAGAUAUCCCAGUUGAAAAGGGUGAAGUCUUGACAUUGAGGCUCAGAAGUCUGAGGACUGAUAUGAUUGAAAGGAUCAAAACAAGGAUGGGGAUGAGUUUCUUUUUGGUAAGAUUCAUCCCUUUCCUUCCUUGCCAGUAUUUGUGAACACAGAAAAUAUGAUUUUCUUGUGCUCGAGAUGUGAGUGAAGGAGAAAAUUGAACCAGAGGUGAUAGGAGAGGACGAAAAUGAAGUACAUCAGGGGGCAUCUUAAUUUUUUUGAAUGCUCCUUUACUCUCUCCUUUGAAAAAACUGCUGUUACAUUACAUCCUUCUCAUAGUGUUGUGAGAUUUUGGUGAUAAUAACUGUUCAUGGUGGUCCUUUUCAUAUUGUUGAGUAGGGAGGAAGGGAUGGCUUUGCUUCUGUUAUAAGUGUCCUCUUUCUUUUCAUCCAGCUGCUGUUAGCUACCUAAUUGUUGGGGUUGCAGGUUAAGCGUUAAGCUUAGAAAUUUAGCUACAUGUCUCAUUUAGAAAGAAAGUUCAUUUCAAUCAUUUGUUAGGGUGCUGACAUGCGUCCUUUAAGUUUGGUUUGUGGUAAUGUUUUCUUUUUGGAUGCUUGUUUGGUGAUCUUGAGUAAGCUUUAAGAUGGCUAGCGGGUUGGUGAGGGGUCUCUGUUGAAAUUUCAGCACUUAUGACUAAGGAGCUUUUCUCAUUUCAUAUGAAAUUAUUUGAGGUUUGUGAUGGGGAGCAAUGAUUGAUUCCUAUUUACACUUCUCUUUCUGAUUUUGGAUUUUUCACUUACAAACUUAAUGCUCAACUUGUGGAGUUUCUUAUUAAGAUUUUCGAUACAAUGAACUU